Long non-coding RNA from Drosophila mauritiana, 1822 nucleotides. RefSeq lists it as uncharacterized. The record is from RefSeq and is a predicted model, not a curated record. The transcript has 3 exons. Lineage: Eukaryota; Metazoa; Arthropoda; Insecta; Diptera; Drosophilidae.
AUUGCUGGCUGAAAACGGGAAAAGACCGUGGAAAAGAAAGAAGAAAUAGCCGAAUCGUACCGAACAGAACCAACUAUUUGCUUAUUUCAUGGAUGUGAUUGGAAAUUGGCCUCGCUGUGCGAGUGUGUGUGUGUUUGUGUGUGUGCAUGGGUGUCCGUUUGUGUGCGAGUUCUUCCUGUGUUUCGUGGUGUGCGUGAGUGCCCAAGUCAGUGCUAGACAAAGAGCGCAAUAAACCAAAGGCACACAAAAGCGGGCUCAAACCGAAAUAUUAAUACAGAGCAAGAAAUUGGGAUCGCUUUAAGGAUCAUCAGAAUCUUCUUAAACUCCAGCAUAGCUUAUAAAGUCCUUAUCAAUACAUUCGAUUAUAUCUUCAAAUGGUAUUAGAUACCCUAAGGUUUCUCUUUAUAGGAAGCCUUGUGGGCAGCAGUCUACGUAGUGACGAGUUGCACCAGUACUACACACGAUCAAAUGGCGGUCUUCCGACCAUCACCAGGGAUACAUCAAUGGAAAGAUCUGUUAACAAGGAAAAUACUUUUACCAAAGGACAAACGUUGUAGGUGUAAAAGAAAGCCGCUAUAGUUUCUUUCAGUGCAUACUCACACCUAUAAACACGACUGCACGUCGCUGUCAUCAUUCCAAUGGGAGACGUCGACGUCGACGGAGGAGUCAUCGCAGUCCAUUGUUAGUUUCGUUCUUUCUCCCACAACGACGCUUUGGUUUUGGGCUCUUUCUGCUGGUCUUUCGCCGUCUUCGCUACAGUCUUACCUGUAGGGCUCGCCGCACGUUCUUCCCUGCCCCUUCCCCCUUCCCCCGUGCGCCCUUGCCCCCUUAGCCCUAGCCCCUCUCGGGAACCCCCAUCAGAAUACCCUGUGAGCCCACGCCACUGCCACUACCACUGCCACCGCCACUGGCACUUCCAUGAACCCAAGGAACGCAAUGUGGUUCCAUUUCCAUUAAUUUGGUACGCUAUCGCGACGCUGAGUCGCCCGUGGAAGUCGCCGCUUUCUGCGGUUUCGGUUCUUGGUUCUUUGGGCUCUUUUACUUACUUUUGCUGGAAGCGUGAAAUAUUUCUGUAUCUAUGGGUUUUCUUUAAAAUAUUUGUGUGGAUGGAACACAGAUAUGUGGGUCAUUGGUUAAGUAUGAUAACUGUAUGAUUACUUUUGAUACAGGAUGCAUUUUUAGUAGGUGUUUAAAAUAUCUUCUUAAGCAAUAGUUAAUCCCAUUGGUCACAUCGGCCGAUCGACGCUUGUAGGCUAUAAUUAUGUACGCGUUCGGCUAAACAAAAUAAUGGCCAAGUGAUUAACAGUCAUGGGAAAUGAAUUGCCCGCAAUUUCCCAGUUGGACGACAGAGGAUGUGGAUGUGCAGCUCGGUGGUUCGGUGGCUCGGCGGUGGCUCAGUGGUGGUGCAGUGGAUUGGGUGGUGCAACUGUGGCCAAGAAACCUGUGCGUGCCCAUUGCCAUCGAAAAUUCUAUCGCGAGUACAACGCACCGAGAUUUUGGCCCUUCGUUUUGUUUGGCAUUUUUUUUUUUUUGUUGGUAAUACCGCCGCCGGGUGGACGCCGUCGACUGCGACGCACAGUGGAGCUUCUUAAUGUGACCGAUGCGGCUGCCAGUUGGCUGUGCUCCUUGCAAUCUGGAUUUUCCCCAAGGAGGCGGUGGCGCAGGGGGUGUGGCAGGGGCCGAAUGCUGGAUGGCCUUCGUCUUUAACAGCAUUCAUCCAUCUAUACUCGCGGCCGCUGGUGCUUCUUCCUCGCAGCUUGAUCUUCUGAUCCUCACCAUUUGUAUUUGUGUGAGCAAGUGCACUGCGAGAAACGCACAUGUA